ACACAUGCAAGUCGAACGGAGAAGCACCGCUUCGGUGGUGUUUCUUAGUGGCGAACGGGUGAGUAACGCGUGAGCAACCUGCCUUUCAGAGGGGGACAACAGUUGGAAACGACUGCUAAUACCGCAUAAUGUUCCGUUUGGGCAUCCUUACGGAACCAAAGAUUUUAUCGCUGAAAGAUGGGCUCGCGUCUGAUUAGCUGGUUGGCGGGGUAACGGCCCACCAAGGCGACGAUCAGUAGCCGGACUGAGAGGUCGAUCGGCCACAUUGGGACUGUGAUACGGCCCAGACUCCUACGGGAGGCAGCAGUGGGGAAUAUUGGGCAAUGGGCGCAAGCCUGACCCAGCAACGCCGCGUGAGGGAAGAAGGUUCUCGGAUUGUAAACCUCUUUUACCAGGGAAGAAGAAAGUGACGGUACCUGGAGAAAAAGUCACGGCUAACUACGUGCCAGCAGCCGCGGUAAUACGUAGGUGACAAGCGUUGUCCGGAUUUACUGGGUGUAAAGGGCGUGUAGGCGGGAAGGCAGGUCAGAUGUGAAAUGCCGGGGCUCAACCCCGGAACUGCAUUUGAAACCGUUUUUCUUGAGUAUCGGAGAGGCAGGCGGAAUUCCUAGUGUAGCGGUGAAAUGCAUAGAUAUUAGGAAGAACACCAGUGGCGAAGGCGCCCUGCUGGACGACAACUGACGCUGAGGCGCGAAAGCGUGGGGAGCAAACAGGAUUAGAUACCCUGGUAGUCCACGCCGUAAACGAUGGAUACUAGGUGUGGGGAGUAUUGAUCCUCUCCGUGCCGUCGUUAACACAAUAAGUAUCCCACCUGGGGAGUACGACCGCAAGGUUGAAACUCAAAGGAAUUGACGGGGGUCCGCACAAGCAGUGGAUUAUGUGGUUUAAUUCGACGCAACGCGAAGAACCUUACCAGGAUUUGACAUCCCGCUAACGAAGCAGAGAUGCAUUAG
RNAcentral lists this ribosomal RNA (953 nucleotides) under uncultured bacterium. Its description in RNAcentral is "bacterial SSU rRNA". It matches the Rfam family "Bacterial small subunit ribosomal RNA", at positions 51 to 1014 of the family's 1533-position model. The record is from RNAcentral.